GAUGAACGCUGGCGGCGUGCCUAAUACAUGCAAGUCGAGCGAACAGACGAGGAGCUUGCUCCUCUGACGUUAGCGGAGGACGGGUGAUUAACACGUGGAUAACCUACCUAUAAGACUGGGAUAACUUCGGGAAACCGGAGCUAAUACCGGAUAACAUGCUGAACCGCAUGGUUCAACAGUGAAAGACGGUCUUGCUGUCACUUAUCGAUGGAUCCGCGCCGCAUUAGCUAGUUGGUAAGGUAACGGCCUACCAAGGCGACGAUGCGUAGCCGACCUGAGAGAGUGGUCGGCGACACGGGAAGUGAAACACGGUCCAUACGCCUGCGAUAGGGCGCAGUAUGGAAUCGUACGCAAUGGGGGAGAGUCUUACAGAGCAGCGCCGCGUGAGUUAAGAAGGUCUUGGGAUCGUAAAACUCUGUUAUUAGUUGAGAACAAAUGUGUAAGUAACUAUGCACUUCUUGACGGUACCGGAUCAGAAAGCCACGGCUAACUACGUG
RNAcentral lists this ribosomal RNA (497 nucleotides) under uncultured bacterium. RNAcentral's name for it is "partial 16S ribosomal RNA". It matches the Rfam family "Bacterial small subunit ribosomal RNA", at positions 28 to 507 of the family's 1533-position model. The record is from RNAcentral.